This 253-nucleotide ribosomal RNA is filed under the name uncultured bacterium. RNAcentral describes it as "partial 16S ribosomal RNA". It matches the Rfam family "Bacterial small subunit ribosomal RNA", at positions 524 to 776 of the family's 1533-position model. The record is from RNAcentral.
GACGUAGGGCGCGAGCGUUGUCCGGAUUUAUUGGGCGUAAAGAGCUCGUAGGCGGCUCGUUGCGUCGGCUGUGAAAACCCGCAGCUCAACUGUGGGCUUGCAGCUGAUACGGGCGGGCUGGGAUUCGGUAGGGGAGACUGGAAUUCCUGGUGUAGCGGUGAAAUGCGCAGAUAUCAGGAGGAACACCAAUAGCGAAGGCAGCUCGCUGGGACGGUACUGACGCUAAGGCGCGAAAGCGUGGGGAGCGAACAGG